CCAGGUUCCAGUGAUUCUCCUGCCUCAGCCUCCCAAGUAGCUGGGAUUAGAGGUGUGCGCCACCAUGCCUGGUUAAUUUUUGUAUUUUUAGUAGAGACGGGGUUUCACCAUGUUAGCCAGGCUGGACUUGAACUCCCAACCUCAGGUGAUCCACCCACCUUGGCCUCCCAAAGUGCUGGGAUUACAAGCAUGAGCCACCACGCCUGGCCCCGUCAGCCAUUUAACUGGUGGGGAUUCCCCGGGUGCACCUGAGGCUACUCCAAGUCAAGAGAUGAUACUGUCACACACCCCUCUGGACUCCCUCUCUCCCGACCAGGGCUAGCAGCAUGUGCAGUGCCUCCGUGAGGUUUGGAAAGACCCAUCCCUCCAGCAGAUAAAGCCCCCAGGAUGAGGGCAGGCAGAGAUGACUGUCUAUGUGACAAAAGCCCCUUCAUCCUCCCGGGGGGAGCCUGGAGAGCAGAAGCUGUGGAUUUCAGCCGCCCCUCAGCCAGGAGCUGUGUGCAGACCAUCCCCUGCACAACCACAGGCACCCACAGGUCUCCACAGUGACCUCUUCAGCACCCCCAAAGCAAGAUGAGGUCACAGCACGGGUCUCCAGCCCUGUGGCAGCCCCUUGCCAUGCAAAGGGGAGGAGGCCACCUGCAGCCCUGCUGCCUGAGGCAGGGGCAUGUACUAUUACCACCCAGGAGCACUGGACCUGGAGCAUCAGCCCAGGAGCACUCACCUGGUGUCACUGUAGUAACGGACGCGCAGAGCCGGAGAGCCAGCGUCAGAAUCCAGAUCACCAGCAUCUCCCGGGGAACGGGCCCCUGGCUGCCCAUCUUCUCUCAUCAGGAGGGACCAAGAAAUGAAGGCCUCCCAGGAAGGGAUCAGCUAUAAAAAGGACCCCAGAGAACUUUGCCUUGAAGAAGAGCAGUGCCUGUCCCAGGGUAGAGGAGACACAGGUGCUCCCAGGAUCCUCCUACAGUGCCACCUCUGGAAAUCCCUGUUCUCUGAUCAAACAGAGACCACUGAGGGGGUGAAAAGGAGACAGACAGAGAGCUGCUGCUUUUUACAAUAAACUCUGUAUUGUGCACAUGAAGACCUGGAGAUGUGCCGACUUCCUGUCCCCAAAGCCAAUCUUCCCCGCCAAGGCGACUGAGGAUUUCAAGGGCUCAGAGUUACUGCAGGAAUCCAGGUGACACCAGGAAGAGAAGGGGGAGGAGGGGAAUCGGAGGGGAUGGGUUUAAAAGGCAGAGGGGAGGCAAGAAGGGAGGGGGAUCGAAGGAAAUGAGGAGGAGGGAGACUGAGGGGGCUGCCUUUCCUUGGGGACUGGGGAACUCAUGCCCUGCCCCCACCCGCAGGGCUCCAGGGGUGAGAGAAAGGGGUGGAGAAUAAAGAAUUGGGCAGCAGGGUGAUGGGGGGAACAGCAGCUGGGGUAUUUAGGUCAGGGGGAGUCGGGGGCAGAACCGAUGAAUGGACGGGCUCAGAAGGGAGAAGAUACAAGGAAUGAGAGCAAGAGAAACGGGGAACUGGGCAACGGGGUGACGGGGAGAACAGCACCUGGGUAUCCUAAGACACAGAGGCUAUCUAUACCUUGCUAGGGACCAGGAUGUGAGGAGAGGAGGGAGGAUUUAGGGCUGGGGGACUGGGGUGCAGGAUGGAUGAAGGAACGGGGUCAAAAGGGGAGGACGUCUAAGGAAUGAGAGCAAGAGAUGCAGCAGGGAGUUAGAUCAGGAGAGGGCAGGAGAUGGGAUGGGGCUGCAGGCUGCCUCCAGGUUCAAAGUAAGAAACAGGCAGUAGGGAAUUGAGAGAAAAUAAGAACCAGGGCCAGAGACCAGGUGAAGGACGUGAGGAUUGGAGGAUCCGAGAGAGGCAAUGGCAACACGAGGGCUGAGACGGGAGGGCAGAGUAGGACCGAGAAUUGACCAAGUCUAUGUGGUUUUCACAACAACGGCGUGAGCUAUCAUACAGGAAUGCUGUACCCGUUUUGCAGGUGAGGAAACUGAGGCUCGUUACUGACUUGCCCAAGAUUCCACAGUGGAAGAGCCUGGACGUGAACUGCGUCUCCAGGUGGGUUUCAGCCAAGUUGGAAGGAGAAGGAUGGGAUUUGGGGGAACAGUCUCAUCUUGCCCAAGAACAGCAGGAGCCUGGGCUGCCCGCGUCCUGGGGCCACCUCUUGAAAUGGACGCAAUGCAGACCCUUGUGUCCGGGGCAGGGCGGAGGGGGUGGUGAAGGGGCCCCGCAGGGCUCACACUGAGGACGAGGUCAUCUCGGGUCUCUUGAUGUGCACCUGUCAGAGUCACAGUGAGGGACGGGAACGCGGAGCCACUGGUUUGGGCUGACAGGGAGGUCACUGCUGAUCCGAGCCCAGCCCCCUCCCUGCCCUGGUGGGGGUCGGGGAGGGAUUCUGGAAUGGAGGCUGGGAGAGUUCCUUGGGGUCCCCCUCUUUAGCCCCUCACCUUCAUAGUGGUGUCCACGUUCUCCAAGGCCACAUAGAAAUUUGUAUCCUUGU
This 2494-nucleotide long non-coding RNA is filed under the name Homo sapiens (human). RNAcentral describes it as "PREDICTED lncRNA (TCONS_00245872)". Lineage: Eukaryota; Metazoa; Chordata; Mammalia; Primates; Hominidae. The record is from RNAcentral.